Molecule: ribosomal RNA, 1059 nt
Filed under: uncultured archaeon
Lineage: Archaea
Description: bacterial SSU rRNA
Rfam family: Archaeal small subunit ribosomal RNA
Source: RNAcentral
UUCUGUUUGAUCCUGGCAGAGGUUACUGCUAUCGAGGUUCGACUAAGCCAUGCGAGUCGAAUGUAGCAAUACAUGGCGAACUGCUCAGUAACACGUGGACAACCUGCCCUUAGGACGGGGAUAAACCCGGGAAACUGGGUAUAAUACCCGAUAGGUCUCGAUUGCUGGAAUGCAUCGAGAUUUAAAGCUCCGGCGCCUAAGGAUGGGUCUGCGGCCUAUCAGGUAGUAGUGGGUGUAGCGUACCUACUAGCCUACGACGGGUACGGGUUGUGAGAGCAAGAGCCCGGAGAUGGAUUCUGAGACACGAAUCCAGGCCCUACGGGGUGCAGCAGGCGCGAAAACUUUACAAUGCUGGCAACAGCGAUAAGGGAACCUCGAGUGCCAGGUUACAAAUCUGGCUGUCGAGAUGCCUAAAAAGCAUUUCAUAGCAAGGGCCGGGCAAGACCGGUGCCAGCCGCCGCGGUAACACCGGCGGCUCGAGUGGUAACCGUUAUUAUUGGGUCUAAAGGGUCUGUAGCCGGCCGGAUAAGUCUCUUGAGAAAUCUGGCAGCUUAACUGUCAGGCUUUCAGGAGAUACUGUCUGGCUCGAGGCCGGGAGAGGUGAGAGGUACUUCAGGGGUAGGGGUGAAAUCUUGUAAUCCUUGAAGGACCACCAGUGGGAAGGCGUCUCACCAGAACGGACCUGACGGCAAGGGACGAAAGCUAGGGGCACGAACCGGAUUAGAUACCCGGGUAGUCCUAGCCGUAAACGAUACUCGCUAGGUGUCGGCCACGGUGCGACCGUUGUCGGUGCCGUAGGGAAGCCGUGAAAGCGAGCCACCUGGGAAGUACGGGCCGCAAGGCUGAAACUUUAAAGAAAUUGAGCGGGGGGAGCACCACAACGGGUGGGAGCUUGCUGGUUUAAUUGGAUUUCAACGCCGGGAAAUCUUACCGGGACCGACUAGGCGAAUAUGAACGGCCAGGCUGAAGACUUUGCCGGAUUAGCUGAGAGGUUGUGCAUGGGCGUCGUCAGUUCGUACUGUGAGCAUCCUGUUAAGUUCAUGCAUCGAGCGAGACCCA